Molecule: long non-coding RNA, 4536 nt
Filed under: Canis lupus familiaris (dog)
Lineage: Eukaryota; Metazoa; Chordata; Mammalia; Carnivora; Canidae
Description: lncRNA (ENSCAFG00030001850.1)
Source: RNAcentral
AUGAGCCUGUGUGUCCUCUGUCCUCUCCACUGGAUCCCAAGGAUGCCCCCUUCUGCUCACAGGUUCCAUGUGCCGGGCCUGGCUCACAAGAGGGACACAGGUCAUCUUUUAGAAGGAAAAAGUCAAUCAUCUGUCUCUCUCUCUCUCUGUCUCUCUCUCUCCAGCAUGGGCAGCAGAUCCCCUCUUGGGAGAAUGAUAAGGACUCUUCUUUGCCUGCCGGACCAGGACUCCCUGACUAGCUCAUAUGCCCAGAGAGAAUGUGGAUUACCUGCUUUCAACAGAGAUCUUUUUGUCCUUAGCCACAGAGAUUUUUCUGUUUCUUCCCUUAGUAAAGGGCUCCUCUCUGUGCUCUUGUACAUUGGAUGUAGGUGGUGACUUCAAGAUCUCCAAGCCAAGGGGCUAUGAAGUUCAGUCUUGGUCAACGUGAUGGAUGCCCUGCCCCAGGCUGGGCCAAGGUAAGCCCGGUGGACCUUUGCUGUCCAGGACCAUAGCCACCAGCCACAUGUGUCCAAUGAGUGCUUGAAAUAUGGCCCAUCCAAACUGAGAUGAGCUACAAGUGUAAAAUACACACCAGAUUUUAAAGAUCUAAUAAGAAAAGAAAAAAGAAUGAAAAAUAGGUGAUGUAUGAUGAUUAUAUACUGAUUAUAUGCCAAAAUGAUAAUAUUUCGAAAAUUUUUUAAGAUUUUAUUUAUUCAUGAGAGACACAGAGAGAGAGGCAGAGACACAGGCACAGGGAGAAGCAGGCUCCAUGCAGGGAGCCCGACGUGGGACUCGAUCCCAGGACUCUGGGGUCACGACCUGAGCUAAAGGCAGACGCACAAGCACUGAGCCACCCAGGUGCCCAUAACAUUUUGAAUGUAACAGGUUAAAUAGUAUUUAACUUCACAUUUUUUUAAAAUGUAUUUUAAUGGGGUUGCUAGACAGUUUUAAAUGAGCUUCAUGGUUUGUAUUUCAUUUCUAACAGGGACUGUCUACGGUGUAGGCAGCCGGGGUGGCACUGUGGGCUCAGGGCCCCCCGCGGAGGGUGGGCAGGUGCCAGGAAUGGGAGCAGCUCCCCUGGUGUGGUCAGGAAGCCCAUGCCUGUGGCCUGGCUGCCCUCCAGGGGGCUGUGAGGGACUUCCUGCCCCAUUCUUGAGCCACUUGAUGCUGAAAGCUCCAGAGAACUUCCUCUUGUCUCAGACAUCCAGGUGUUUUAGAAAAUGAAACCUGGACUGUAGCCAAUAUUUGUCCCAAACGUGGGCCUGAGGGGGACACUGUUCCAACACCCCAGAACCCCAGGGACGAGCAUUCCACAUGUCUACAAAGAGAGGCUCUGGUCCCUUCGGAAAUGUUUUCAGAGUCUAGGCCGAAUGGGCCGGGGGCGGGGGCUGGGGGGUGGCUGCAGUGCGCGGCCAGGGAGACGGAGGGGCGCGCCAAAGGCCAUCGCACACAGAUGACCGGGACACAGCCCGGCCCGGGGCCAGGAAGAGCAAACCCCUCCCGACAGUUCUGCGUAGACGCGCCGUGGGCCGUGGGCCGGGUGGCAGCGCGGGGCUGAGCCGGGAGGGGCCCGAUGUGGGGAAGGCUGCAGCCCAACUGCCCUGAGGAAUACGGGUCGGGGUGGAAUGGGGAAUACCCGCGAUGGGAAAGGUGCCUUGGGUUCCAGAACAGACACGAGGCUGAAUCAACGGGAAACUGGCAGAUGGGUCUCUAACUGCGCCCCCCACGGGGCGCCAGCGCAGCCCACCUGCGGCUUUGCUGGGGCGACGGGUGGAGGCAGAUCCCUAACCUAGUAGCUGCGGCCCCGGCCGGCCCUGCUGGCUGCCCGUCCACACCGCUGACCCAGCUCGGCCCGGCCUCGCCUCGCAGCCCGGUGCGAACAACCCCUGGUGCCACCCUGGGGUCUCGGCUCCGGGCUCCAAAGCGGUCUGGAGCGGCCGUCCCAGGGAAGGGACAGCUGGACCCGGAGCAGCCCCUGCCCGUAGUGGCCAUCCCCGCUCUGAUGGACGCUUGUCCCCGGCAGGCUGCUCGAGGCACUGCAGCCGCACCCGGUGCCCCCGCGCUGUCCUGUCCUCCUUACCCUGCUUCCCUCGGUUGGCCCAGGGCAACCUCACCAGCGCCCAGGAGAAGACUCCGCAGUCGGGGCGCAGGCCGGCAACCGAGCCAUGAACAUAAGCGAACCCUGAGCAUUCCCGCUUCCGGCUGCCGGGUCCCCUGCCAGCCUCCCGGAGAGCGGGGUUUGUGAAAUACCAGCCUUGUCUAUGCCCUACGCUCACUCAUGCUCCGGAGCCCCUGCUUACCAGCCACACGGCGCUCGGGAGAGAACCUUCAUCCCAAAUGUGAGCCAAAGAUCAAGUUUAACGGUGUGGUCCCAAAUUACACAUCAUUACACGACAGGAGGCCAAAGGAGGUCUCUCCUUCCCUACCAGAAACCUCUGCUCGUCCACGCCUCUCUCUACAGGUAAGGCUGCCAGAUAAGAUACAGGGUGACCGGUUACAUGGAAACUUCAAAUAAACAUGAAAAAAAUUUUAGUACAAGCAUGACCCCAAUAUUACAUGUGACACAUUGCUAUUUAAAAUGUUAUUUGUUCCCUGUACAUUUUUAGGAUUAUAAACAGGUCUCGCCGCUCUGGGAAAAGGUAUGGGGUUUCCUUGAAAACUUAGAAACAGAACUACCGUAAGAUCCAGCCAUCCCACUUCUGGGAUGAAAUUUCCUUUGGAAAUGGAAACAGCUUCUCUGAGAUGUAUCUGCACUUGCCCGGUGAUUGCAGCAUUAUUUACAAGAGUCAAGACAUGGAAACCACCUGAGCGUCAAUGGAUAAAUGGACAAAGAAGGUGUGGUUUAUGCAUACAAUGGAAUAUCAUCCAGCCGCAAGGAAAAAGGAAAUCCUGCCACUUGCCACAACAGGGCUAUAAGGCGUGAUAUCACCUAUAUGUGAAAUCUAAAAAAAACAAAACAAAACAAAUUCAUAGACACAGCAUAGAGUAGUGACCACCAGGGCCUGGGAGAUGGAGGAAAUGGGGAGAUACUGGUCAAACUGUACAAACUUCCAGUUAUAAGACAGAUAAGUUCUGGGCAUCUGAUGUAUGGGAUGGUGAGCAUCUAGUUAAUGAUGCUGCAUUAUGUUCUUGAAGAUUGCUUAGAGAGUAGAUCUUAAAUGUUCUCACCACAAAAAAGAAGUGGCAAAUAUGUGAGGUGACGGAGAUGUUAGCUGGAGCUCCGGGGGCAAUCAUUUCACGAUAUGGGAGUGUCUCAACACCUAAACUCACACCAAUGUCGUAUGUUGAUUAUAUUUUGAUAAAGGCUAAAAAAAAAAAAAAAAGAAAUUGCCUAAAACAUGAUGUGCUUCUCUGGUGGCUAGAAGGGAAAUGCUCAGGGCGGAGCGAAAGGCUGUGUUGAUACAGUGUUGUGAAUUUUUAAAUAGAUUGGCAUUUUUAGGUGAUAGAAAAAGCUUUAGGGCAGCCCGGGUGGCUCAGCAGUUUAGCACCGCUGUCAGCCAGGGCCUGAUCCUGGGGACCCGGGAUCAAGUCCCACAUCAGGCUCCCUGCAUGGAGCCUGCUUCUCCCUCUGCCUGCGUCUCUGCCUCUCUCUUUCUCCUCUCUGUAUAUUCUCAUGAAUGAAUAAAUAAAAUCUUUUAAAAAAUAAAAAAAAAGCUUUAUUUACUAUGCAAUUCUUCUUUUAAUCAAAUGACAUUUGUUGGUGAGGCACUAAUGUAGUGCGUGUGUGGGUGAGCACGCGUGUGUAAUGUCUCCGGGGACAGCUUGAAUUCUCCUUCAGCCGUUGGGCUGCCCGCCCCACAGAUUUCUGAGAUUAGACCUUAAACUAUAGUUAACUAGCAAAUUAGCUUCUCUAUCUCUUGGUAACCCGCCGAAUAAGCAGGCUGCUCCAACUGUGGGCAUAUUAUGGCCGAGGGUUUAACACAGAUAAAAGGAGGGGCACCUGGGUGGCUCAGUUGUUGAGCGUCUGCCUUCGGCUCAGGUCGUGACCCCGAGGUCCUGGGAUCGAGUCCCACGUCGGGCUCCCUGCAAGGAGCCUGCUUCUCCCUCUGCCUGUGUCUCUGCCUCUCUCCCUCUCUCUCUGUGUGUUAGCAAAGACACAACCAGAGGGAGAAGCAGGCUCCCCGCAAGGACCCCAGUGCGGGACUCGAUCCUGGAUCGAUCAGGACCUGAGGUGAAGGCAGAUGCUCAACCACUGAGCCAUCCAGGCGUCCCUAAAUAUAAAUUUUAAAACUGCCUGCAGUUUUUCUGUAAGUUCGAUAUGGCUACAGAAUAAUAAUUUAAAAAAGAAAAUCAAGGCUCAAAGACUUAAAUAACCUGACCAAGGCCACGUGGAUAACAGGUGGCUGCUCCAAAUUGCAGCUUGGGGGUAUCCGAACCCCAGAUCUCCACCCUCACCCACAUGGCCCUGGAAGUCCCAGCUGCCUCCCCUGAGGCCCUGCAAGUCCACCCAAGAGGACCCCUCCUCCUGUUCCUUCACCUGCAGAACAGUCCUCCCUCACCCAAGCCAUGUUGAGGGCCUCUUGAUGGAACUGGUCCCCCACCAGCCCCAGCUCCCCC